AGUGAACGCUGGCGGUAGGCCUAACACAUGCAAGUCGAACGGCAGCACAGUAAGAGCUUGCUCUUACGGGUGGCGAGUGGCGGACGGGUGAGGAAUACAUCGGAAUCUACUUUUUCGUGGGGGAUAACGUAGGGAAACUUACGCUAAUACCGCAUACGACCUACGGGUGAAAGCAGUGGAUCUUCGGACCUUGCGCGAUUGAAUGAGCCGAUGUCGGAUUAGCUAGUUGGCGGGGUAAAGGCCCACCAAGGCGACGAUCCGUAGCUGGUCUGAGAGGAUGAUCAGCCACACUGGAACUGAGACACGGUCCAGACUCCUACGGGAGGCAGCAGUGGGGAAUAUUCGACAAUGGGCGCAAGCCUGAUCCAGCCAUACCGCGUGGGUGAAGAAGGCCUUCGGGUUGUAAAGCCCUUUUGUUGGGAAAGAAAAGCAGCAGGUUAAUACCCCGCUGUUCUGACGGUACCCAAAGAAUAAGCACCGGCUAACUUCGUG
RNAcentral lists this ribosomal RNA (492 nucleotides) under uncultured bacterium. RNAcentral describes it as "partial 16S ribosomal RNA". It matches the Rfam family "Bacterial small subunit ribosomal RNA", at positions 29 to 507 of the family's 1533-position model. The record is from RNAcentral.